This 305-nucleotide unclassified non-coding RNA is filed under the name plant metagenome. RNAcentral describes it as "partial contains 5.8S ribosomal RNA, internal transcribed spacer 2, and large subunit ribosomal RNA". The stretch from base 1 to 105 matches the Rfam family "5.8S ribosomal RNA", at positions 50 to 154 of the family's 154-position model. The record is from RNAcentral.
GAAAUGCGAUAAGUAAUGUGAAUUGCAGAAUUCAGUGAAUCAUCGAAUCUUUGAACGCACAUUGCGCCCGCCAGUAUUCUGGCGGGCAUGCCUGUUCGAGCGUUAUUUCAACCAUCAAGCCCCCGGCUUGUGUUGGGGACCUGCGGCUGCCCGCAGGCCCUGAAAAACAGUGGCGGGCUCGCUGUCACACCGAGCGUAGUAGCAUACAUUCUCGCUCAGGGCGUGCUGCGGGUUCCGGCCGUUAAACGACCUUCAUAACCCAAGGUUGACCUCGGAUCAGGUAGGAAGACCCGCUGAACUUAAGC